CACAGCAUCUUAUAAAAAUGCUACGCAGACGCUAGUGAAAUCGUUCGAUUUUGCGACACUGUCAAAUUGCGGGAACCCCCUAAAGCUUGUGAUACCAAAUCAUCGUGGAAACAUUAUGAUGGACGAGAGCAGAACUCGUGUACGGUAAAAAUUCACAGAGAUAUAUGGGCGAUCCGCAGCCAAGCUCCUAAAAUAUCCGAACGGAUUUCAUGGAGAAGGUUCAACGACUAAACGGCAGUGGGUCUCUUUGAGGCUUAAGAUAUAGUCUAGUCCCGAGACAUGAG
This is an intron RNA of 284 nucleotides. It matches the Rfam family "Group I catalytic intron". From Rfam's summary of the family: Group I catalytic introns are large self-splicing ribozymes. The record is from Rfam.